CCAAUAGCGUAUAUUAAAGUUGUUGCAGUUAAAAAGCUCGUAGUUGAAUUUCGGGAUUGACGUGAUGGUCAUGCCUUAAGGGGUAUGAACUGUUGCUGUUGAUUUCUCACCUUCUGGAGAAACUUGAUGUCCUUUAUUGGGUGUCUUUCGGAUCCAGGACCUUUACCUUGAAAAAAUUAGAGUGUUUAAAGCAGGCAUUUUUGCUCGAAUACAUUAGCAUGGAAUAAUAGAAUAGGACGGCAUGGUUCUAUUUUGUUGGUUUCUAGGAUCACCGUAAUGAUUAAUAGGGAUAGUUGGGGGCAUUAGUAUUCAAUUGUCAGAGGUGAAAUUCUUGGAUUUAUUGAAGACUAACUACUGCGAAAGCAUUUGCCAAGGAUGUUUUCAUUAAUCAAGAACGAAAGUUAGGGGAUCGAAGACGAUCAGAUACCGUCGUAGUCUUAACCAUAAACUAUGCCGACUAGGAAUCAGACGAUGUUAAUUUUUUAAUGACUCGUUUGGCACCUUACG
RNAcentral lists this ribosomal RNA (507 nucleotides) under uncultured Glomeromycotina. RNAcentral describes it as "partial small subunit ribosomal RNA". It matches the Rfam family "Eukaryotic small subunit ribosomal RNA", at positions 591 to 1092 of the family's 1831-position model. Lineage: Eukaryota; Fungi; Glomeromycota. The record is from RNAcentral.